Molecule: long non-coding RNA, 300 nt
Filed under: Phoenix dactylifera (date palm)
Lineage: Eukaryota; Viridiplantae; Streptophyta; Magnoliopsida; Arecales; Arecaceae
Description: long non-coding RNA (PDAC_LNC017457)
Source: RNAcentral
AGAACAGAUGCUGGAGCUUCUCCGUGAACUCGCAGCAGCAAUCCGAAAGGAUGACCUUAUGCUCCUCCCUAUCUCUUCAAGAUCAAUACUGAAGGAUUCAGCUUUUUGCUGUCUACCAACUUUGCCAUCCUUCUGCAAGGGGUUUUGGUCCUUCAGGUUCCAGCUGGAAGACGUGGAAAGGCGAAAAAUGUGGGAGAGAUAUUUGAAGGCUUUUUGCUAAGUCUUACAGGAAAUAAUGGUGUAAGAUGCUGCGUCACUGCAAACGCAAGGUGAUUCUCGUUCAAAAAUGGCACAUGCUGG